AACGAACGCUGGCGGCAUGCCUAACACAUGCAAGUCGAACGAGACCUUCGGGUCUAGUGGCGCACGGGUGCGUAACGCGUGGGAACCUGCCCUUAGGUUCGGAAUAACUCCCCGAAAGGGGUGCUAAUACCGGAUAAUGUCUUCGGACCAAAGAUUUAUCGCCUUUGGAUGGGCCCGCGUUGGAUUAGCUAGUUGGUAGGGUAAAAGCCUACCACGGCGACGAUCCAUAGCUGGUCUGAGAGGAUGAUCAGCCACACUGGGACUGAGACACGGCCCAGACUACUACGGGAGGCAGCAGUGGGGAAUAUUGGACAAUGGGCGAAAGCAUGAACCAGCAAUGCCGCGUGAGUGAUGAAGGCCUUAGGGUUGUAAAGCACUUUUACCCGGGAUGAUAAUGACAGUACCGGGAGAAUAAGCUCCGGCUAACUCCGUG
Molecule: ribosomal RNA, 433 nt
Filed under: uncultured bacterium
Lineage: Bacteria
Description: partial 16S ribosomal RNA
Rfam family: Bacterial small subunit ribosomal RNA
Source: RNAcentral